Oncorhynchus kisutch (coho salmon) is the source of this 2797-nucleotide RNA transcript. It is a transcript of the gene named CDK2-associated and cullin domain-containing protein 1, with no coding region annotated. The transcript has 10 exons. The record is from RefSeq and is a predicted model, not a curated record. NCBI's taxonomy places the organism in Eukaryota, Metazoa, Chordata, Actinopteri, Salmoniformes, Salmonidae.
AAACAUUUAAUUUACUUCCCCAUACAGCAGCUAGCAUAUACAAGGUGCAAAAGCGAUGGUGCUCUAAAAACAUAAUUGUUCUUCAUAACCAAACUUCAAAUUCAUGAAGAUUUUCAUUAGACAACUUGAAAGGCUAAAGCAUGGAGGACAUGGAAGAAGAAAGUUCUGGUCUAAAUGACGACCACAACCAUAACUACUGUGAAAACCGUACCAGUGGACAAGUUCACUAUCUCAGGACCGAACUGUCAAAUGAACCCCAGACACUACCAAUUUUUCCGGUUCUGGGCACGCGAGAUGUAGCGGCGCAGGAGAACCACGCAAAGAUUUGUUCCAGUUCCAGCAGUGGUUCAAAGUUCGUGGAUUCAGACUCUAACAGCGUGAACAGUGACACCAGCGAGACUGACAGUGCAUCGCCAGCUUCCAUCGCAGGGAAACUGACCCUGAACUGCGCCUCAAAGUUUCUAAUGAAUGCAAUGACCGAAGAGGACUAUAGAACCACAUACUGGCCGAACCUGGAGAAAGCCAUUGACCACCUGCUGAUACAAAACCCCAUGGACCACAUCUCCAUUUCAUAUGAGCAGAUAUACAGUUAUGUGUACAAGUGUGUUUGUCAACAGCACUCAGAGCUACUGUACAAAGACUUGAUGCUGAAGAUUACUACCCAUCUUCAACAAGUCUCAUCUGAUUUACAAAUUGUUCCACCAGGGAAUUUCAUUGAGCAUUUUAACAUUGCUCUGACUCAGUACACAGAUGCUCUUCAAUGCAUAGUUCCUGUAUUCAUCUACAUGGAUUGAAUCAUUUGCCAUUGUCUACUUAUGAUAAAGAAUAAGUUCUACAUUGAAACGAAGCUAAACCGACACCUGCGAGAAGAUCUCAUGAAGCUUUUUACUGAUCAUGUUGCAGAAAAACAUGUGAACACGCUGAUACCUCUUCUCCUCGAAGCCCAUUCCAUGCCUUUUCAAGUCAGACCUUCAACAAUGGCCAGUGUCGUGAAAGGCCUGUAUACUCUUCGGCCAGAUUGGGCACAUUUAGCCCCAGCUCUCUUCUCUGGAUUCAUUCCUCAAAUCAACCCGCCGACAGUGGAAUCCCAGCUCUCUGACUAUGCUGCUCAUGACCAGAAACUACAAAUGGAGCUCUCUCUGAAUGGCUUUCCCAGAGGUGACCAGUCUCGCAAGAGAGCCAGCGAGGAGUCUGCAUAGAGUGCUCAGACAGUCAUCGACCUGGCUCAACCCAAAUUCACAAAACACUGAACGAUUAAGAUUCUCUGAUGCCGAGUGCAGUGGGUGAGCAUAAGCAUGGGCUCGUUUUUGACCCACAAGAGUCGUAGUGGACACUGCUUUCUUUGCCUCUUUUUUGAAAAGCACAGUGAAUUCAUAAUGGUGCAUAAUGAUUCUGUCCGCUUUUGGUGAUGAAUCCAUCUUCUUUAUUGUUAAGGUAUUAUGUAGUUUAAUGUAUUUGUUCUCAUUUUCUCCAUUAAAGUGUGCCUUCUGCUCUGCUUUGUUGGGAUAUUCAAGUUGCCAUUAACCAGGUGGAUGGGGCAUGAUUCCUAGUUUGACCACAUACUGUGUCAAUUAUGGGUCAUGUUCAUUAGGAUAUGCCGCGGAAAACAUGAAUUACAAUGGAAAACAAAAGGAGUGUUUCUGAUUGGACAAAUACAGGUGGUUCCUCUGUUUGUCCGUUUUCUUCCACUUUGUGCCUAAUGAACAUAACUCUAACCUGGACCUCCCUGAUCUGUUAUUGGUCUGAUUGAUCUGAUUCAGUAACUAUGACAGUCUGCUGCUAUUCCUCAUAUGUUGUUGUGUAGAACACUUGAUUUUUGUCUGUCUGGUCUGUGUAAUUAAUAUUGACAGUUGUUUGGAUAGGAACAAAUUGUGUCACUUUGUAUCAGUCAGAUAUGUUAACGUCUGUAAUGAAAGACUAGGGUCUGGGAAGUGGGAACAUUUCCUCUUGAAUUUAAGAAAGUUCUACAGUGGCACAUGCCCAAUUAGGUAUGCAUUUCAUUCUAUUUUUGAUGUUUAGGCAACUUUAAGCAAUGGUUUAUCUGGAACUUACAGGAUAAAAUAUGUCCUGUAUAACAAUUUCUUUCUCAAUGGGAAUGAAACGGCAACCAAGCUUGUUAGCAUACAAAAUAGGAGUAUUUUUUAUUUAAUUGAACUAGGCAAGUCAGUUAACACAUUCUUAUUUACAAUGACGGCCUAACGUUUUGGUUAUAACUGAAUAGGUUAUGUCGGUAAUUGUUUAAAGGUCUAUUUUCUACAACAUUUAUAUUUUAUUGCCUUUGUUUUUGAACCAGAUCGUAUUUACCAAGCAUGCCAAAGAUGAUUCACAAUGUUCUUAUUCUCUGUUCUAAAAAAAUAAAAAUAAUAAUUGCAUUGUGACUCCAGAAAUGAUGGUGUCAGUCUCCCCAUGUUGCUGCUGUAUCUGCAUUAGCUUACCCAUUGUACCAAGUCACUGAGCCAAUUGAUUAGGAUACAUUUUUGAAACUGUUGUGAAUUUGGUUACAAUAAUUAUGUCAAAUGAUGUAGGUGGAGUUAAUUAAAAUCAUCCCUGUGUUCUCUCCAGUUUCUGAUGAUGUAAACCGAUCCAGUCUCAUUGUGGUAAUGAUCAAUGUAUGGUAGUUACUGUCACAGAUUUACCUUUGUUACAUGUGGUUUAUCUUAAAAUGGAAGUAUUUGAUACAGCUCUUUGCACUGUUUUAAGUGUAAUGUGAUGCUCGUCUUUGAAGAUGUUGGAGAUGGCACACACUCAUUGUCUUAUGUACAGUUUUACUUUCAAUAAACAAAUCUUGAAAAGGAUG